ACGUGCCCAGUCGUGGGGGAUAACGCAGCGAAAGCUGUGCUAAUACCGCAUACGAUCUCUGGAUGAAAGCGGGGGACUCGCAAGAGCCUCGCGCGAUUGGAGCGGCCGAUAUCAGAUUAGCUAGUUAGUGGGGUAAAAGCCCACCAAGGCGACGAUCUGUAGCUGGUCUGAGAGGACGACCAGCCACACUGGAACUGAGACACGGUCCAGACUCCUACGGGAGGCAGCAGUGGGGAAUUUUGGACAAUGGGCGCAAGCCUGAUCCAGCAAUGCCGCGUGCAGGAUGAAGGCCUUCGGGUUGUAAACUGCUUUUGUACGGAACGAAACGGUCCUUUCUAAUACGAGGGGCUAAUGACGGUACCGUAAGAAUAAGCACCGGCUAACUACGUGCCAGCAGCCGCGGUAAUACGUAGGGUGCGAGCGUUAAUCGGAAUUACUGGGCGUAAAGCGUGCGCAGGCGGUGAUGUAAGACAGAUGUGAAAUCCCCGGGCUCAACCUGGGACCUGCAUUUGUGACUGCAUCGCUAGAGUACGGUAGAGGGGGAUGGAAUUCCGCGUGUAGCAGUGAAAUGCGUAGAUAUGCGGAGGAACACCGAUGGCGAAGGCAAUCCCCUGGACCUGUACUGACGCUCAUGCACGAAAGCGUGGGGAGCAAACAGGAUUAGAUACCCUGGUAGUCCACGCCCUAAACGAU
This 693-nucleotide ribosomal RNA is filed under the name uncultured bacterium. RNAcentral's name for it is "bacterial SSU rRNA". It matches the Rfam family "Bacterial small subunit ribosomal RNA", at positions 124 to 810 of the family's 1533-position model. The record is from RNAcentral.